GCGAGAGUGGCGAAACUGGUAGACGCACUGGACUUAGGAUCCAGCCCUGCCUGCAGGAUGGGGGUUCGAGUCCCCCCUCUCGCACCA
Molecule: transfer RNA, 87 nt
Filed under: Desulforhabdus sp. TSK
Lineage: Bacteria; Pseudomonadati; Thermodesulfobacteriota; Syntrophobacteria; Syntrophobacterales; Syntrophobacteraceae
Description: tRNA-Leu
Rfam family: tRNA
About the family: Transfer RNA (tRNA) molecules are approximately 80 nucleotides in length. Their secondary structure includes four short double-helical elements and three loops (D, anti-codon, and T loops).
Source: RNAcentral